RNAcentral lists this ribosomal RNA (466 nucleotides) under uncultured bacterium. RNAcentral's name for it is "bacterial SSU rRNA". It matches the Rfam family "Bacterial small subunit ribosomal RNA", at positions 328 to 792 of the family's 1533-position model. The record is from RNAcentral.
UUUCCAGACUCCUACGGGAGGCAGCAGUGAGGAAUAUUGGUCAAUGGCCGAGAGGCUGAACCAGCCAAGUCGCGUGAGGGAUGACGGCCCUACGGGUUGUAAACCUCUUUUGCCGGGGAGCAAAGAGCGGGACGCGUCCCGCCUCGAGAGUACCCGGAGAAAAAGCAUCGGCUAACUCCGUGCCAGCAGCCGCGGUAAUACGGAGGAUGCGAGCGUUAUCCGGAUUUAUUGGGUUUAAAGGGUGCGUAGGCGGGCAUUUAAGCCGGCGGUCAAAUGUCGGGGCUCAACCCCGGCCUGCCGUCGGAACUGGGUGCCUUGAGUGGGCGAGAAGUAUGCGGAAUGCGUGGUGUAGCGGUGAAAUGCAUAGAUAUCACGCAGAACUCCGAUUGCGAAGGCAGCAUACCGGCGCCCAACUGACGCUCAGGCACGAAAGCGUGGGUAUCGAACAGGAUUAGAUACCCGAGUA